Molecule: long non-coding RNA, 5102 nt
Organism: Phyllostomus discolor (pale spear-nosed bat)
Lineage: Eukaryota; Metazoa; Chordata; Mammalia; Chiroptera; Phyllostomidae
Exons: 3
Source: RefSeq, a predicted model, not a curated record
UGGGGCUGCGCCAGCUCGGGCCAGGGAUCCGCGCCCCCUCCUGGGCGCUCCCUCGCGGCGCAGUGCGCUGUCCUGCUGGCGGCCCUGGAGCCCCCAGGCGAGACCUCAGUUCACUCCCAGCUUCAAAGUAAGGCUUUUCCUGUCCCCAGCUGCUGGGCACCCAGGGGGGCCCGGCCCUUCCCAGACCGCGUAGUGACAAGUCAUCGGACCCUGCGCUCCAAGCUGCUUCUCUCAGGCCGGACUGGGGGCGCCCUGCCGCCCGGCCUUCACCAGGGGUGGCGUGGCGCUUCUGCAGAUACACUUCUGCCUCCCUUAACAGUCGGUCCCUGGGUUCUUAAAGUCAACGUGGUAACCCAAGCCCUGGUCUGGAUUCCUUUCAUUCUCGUAAAUUCACUGUGCUAGUGAUGCUCAUUCGUUCCAGACACGGACUGGGUUCUCGCUGGGCUGGGGAGCUGUCCCUGGCCGCUGCGCGGCCAAAUCCGCCCAAGCCCGGUCUGUGCCGCACCUAGGGGUUAGUGACCCGCGCUGGUGGAAGGACUCCCCAAGAUUGCGGCGGGUGAGGGACGCAUCCGGGCCCAGGCCAGGAGCGCCAGGUCCUGGAAGAGUGGCAAGAAGUCGACAGGUUCUGCUGCAGGCCAGAGCUUCGUGGCGCGUUUACAAGGCCUGGAAUCUUCCUAAGACGGACGGAGAACGGCUUCAACUCCAACUACUGGGCUGUGAAAACACAUCGUCAGUUCUGGCUGCAGGAUGAAAGUCAGUCCAUUAGAAUAAAACGUUUGUGGAGCUACAUUGGUGAUUCCUAAAACCCUGGGAAUCCUCCACCAAGACAGUGGACUGACGCUGUUCUCUGCUCGUCAAUUCGCACAGCAGAAAUGGAUGGCUCGCCUGUUUGUUGAUCUGUCCGCAGCAGAAAAAAACAAGCAAGCAAACGAACAAACAAAACAGCCUCUAAGAAGGGAACUUGGAAGGUCUCCACAGUAAAGCCCAGAUUUCAUGAAUAACCGCUACACCCCAUCAGAUACAAUGCUUCUCUGAAUCCCGAACCAGUGGAGAUGUGCGGCGGCUGACUCGGCCUGCAGCUGUGCUGAGGAUUAAUGAAAUUAGCGGCAAUAUCCAGAAACUUAGCCAGAGCCCUGCGUCCAGUCCAGAACUCUGGAAGCAGAUAGCCUCACAAGGCUUCCAUCUUGCAACCCAGCAGCUGCCGACAAAGAGGAAUGAAACUGCAGCAGAUUUAAAGUCAGAAAGCACAGGAGGUGGUACCUUGCUACUUCCUCGGCUCUUAUACAGCACAGAAGGGAUCCAUGAAUCCCUGCAUACUCCCUGUGAAAGAAUGUUCCCUAUGGUAAUGGAAGUUGAGAGCCAGCAAGCCUGCAGGGACCACUUUUGGGAGGAACUAGGCAAUGCUGUUGCAGGGGAUAUGAGGCAAUUUGCCAAGGCCAAGGACCUGAUAAUGGGGUUUGACUGAACCUCAGAGGUUCUGCCCAGGCACUACGAGCCAAAGUGGAGUCAGUUAUCCAGGGAAGGACUCCAAGUCCUCACCAUGUCCAGGAUACUGUAUCAGUUAGGUUUUGCUGUGUAACAAAGCACCUCAAAACUUAGCAAUGUCAAAGAGUAAGCAUCUAUGAGCUCAGCAUUCUACAGGUUGGGCAGGUGUCUUUGGAGUUGGACUGGCUCAGCUGAUCUUGCUGAGCCCAUUUAGGGAGCAGGUUAGCUGGUGGCUGGGUGAUUUAGAAUGGCCUCCUCGCUGAAUAAAAUGGGUUGUAAGUCAGAGAUUGUGUGGCCAACGAUUUCUUUUAGUGGUUUUCUGUGCUCCAGCUUCAACAUGGUAGAUGCUGUCCCCAAAGAUCAAGGUGAAUUCCUCCAUGAAUAGUCAAAGAGGAGGAGGUCAAGGCCAUCUAGGGGCUGCCUGAGCUUUGCAUUCACAGAUCUGCUUUCCUUUCUGAGAAACCCUUCCUAUUCAGAUGAGUGCUACCUGGAAUGUUCUUUCUCACAGAACAGGAGAAAACUAUAGAACAGUUGUCAAGAGCCAGAGCCCCAGGUUCUAACUUUAACAUGUCUUCAUUUAACAUCUCCAUGCUUCAUUUCUCUCAUUCGUAAGAUAAUAACAGCACUAACUGCUUCAUAGGCUGCUGUGAGUAGUAAUGAGUUAAAACAUGUAAAAUGCUUAGAACAGGGUCUGACAAUAGGGUAUACUCUGUAGAUUAGUAACUAUUUAGUUUACCUUAGAUGUGGCAGCCCUCGAAAAAACACCCCACCAGACUAUAAUACUGCUUUCAAAAUUUAUACAAGAGGGGCACCUGUUGAGGAGCUAGGGAACCUUUUUUUUUUUCCAGUUGCAAAUAUUUUGUCAGCAUGACUUUCUGUGCGGUACUAUCAUAGUUAAUGGAUACACUUUGCAUGUUUAUUUUCACAUUUUACAAUUGCCACAAUGACACAUUCUUACACUGGGAGCCUGUAAAACAUAAAGAGGCAUUAAAGGGAGCAAGGCACUCAAAUUAUGGAGACCCCCACUGUUACAUACAUAAUAUGUACACAUUAUGAAAACGAUGACAUAGUGCACUUCUAGAAAUAUUUUUCACUUGGUAAAAUAUUAUGCGUGCUUCCCCAUGCCACUAUUUUAAUAGCUGCAGGUCAUUCCGUCCUAUGGCUGUAUUACAAAUGCAUUUCUUGACCCCCGAGGGGUGCACUUACAGGGGUGAUGUGGCGCACCAACCACCACCAAGCCAGUGUUUUAACAGAAGGAACCCAUACAAUCUUCAUCUGCUGAAAGAUUAUUGAGCGCUGUCAAUUCUUUCCACCAGCUGCUUUAUUCAUGUGCCCUGCCCACCCUUGACCUUCAUUAUCGUUGAGGGUAGGUGAAUUCAAAUCAAGCACAUCCACAAGCCAGCAAGAGAACAUCAAAAGGCUAGAGGACAGAGCUUAUGACGUAAGAUCAAAGGAAAGAGUAUCCUUUUGUCCAUUGUCUGUCGGUUCUCCCUGUACUUAUCUAUGCAAGCAUCGACAUCUCCUUCCCAUGUUGCUUCGUGUUUUUGAACACGGGAGCGUCUGGUCUGUGUGUCAUCCUGUAACACGUCAGGGCAUAAAAUGGGCCAGACACAUCCUUCCUUCAUUUUAAGGAGAAAACACCUCUGGUAUGCUUCAAGGCUAAAAUAGGGUAGGAAAUACCAAUAAAUUACCUACAUAUGCAAACUCUGAAGCGCCCGAAAUAUAAAAUCUGUUCUAAAUGGACAAUUUUUUCCUGGUGAUAUUCCAUGAUUUGAAUUAUGUAUGUAGGAUAAUUAACAAAUAAAUUGCUCCAGUGUCUGUGCUGAUGACAGAAUCUCAAAGCGAUGAACAACUGGGCGGUGAGAAUCUCCACAGCAGCUGAAUUCUCACAUUACAGGCAAUGAGAUACAGAGCAUGCUCUUCAUGGGGCAUCCUGUGUAUUUUGCUUUUGGGGAAUUAUCCCGUUCUCAGUCCAUUACGUGACUGCAUUUUCUGGGCAGGACCCAGGUAUGGUCACCAAGCCUCCAACCCUCUGGCCCCAGUGACUGAGCUAGGUGACCUGAGCUAGGUCACGGAUACUCCAUUCAGGGUCUUUCCCUCAACAAUUGAGAAAGAGGGGCCAUUAGUAACACCGGACUUGACAUGAAUAGAUUAAAUGUCAGAGCUGCUUGCAGCUACCUUCCUGAGAGCAAAGGUACAUGCUCCAUAAAAUAAUCACUCCCAGUUGUUUAGUUUAUGAUUUUGUGGGCUGCUGGUCUGAGUUGAACUCAGCUGAGGAUUUUGGGGGUUUUUUGUUUCCUUUCUGGUCUUGGCUGGAUCUGCUCCGUGUAUCUACAGGCAGCCCCUGCAUAGCGGGGCCUGGCUGGUCUACGACGGCCUGACCUGGGAUGCUUUGUCUCUAUUCCACGUGGUCUCUGACUCUCCAGCAGACUAACCUCAGCCAGUUCAGAUGGUGGGGGCAUGGGUCUGAGAAAGUGAGUGGGAGCAUGCAAGGUCUUGAGGACUAGGCUCCAAACUGGGGUGGCCUCACUUUGCCCACCUUCUAUCAGUCGAAACAAGUCUCAAGUCCAAUUCAGAUGUAAAGCAGGGGGAGGGUUGGAAUAGACUCCAUCUUCCUCUGAAAAGAGCUGCAGAGACGUUGCAUGGAGGUAGGUCUACCUAGAGGAAAGGGAAUAAUUACGGCUGUUUUUGCAAAUAAUCUUCCAACCUCUGUCUUCAAGUCCCAAUGAGUCAUGUCUCUUCUAUAUGCAAAAUAUACUCCCUCCUCCCAAGAUCUCCUUUCAUCUGGGCUGGAAUGCAUGUUUUGGGGACCUACAUCCUGCCAUGUGAGGCUUCCCUUGAUUGGAGGCCUGUGAACUAAAAAUGACAACUUAUUUGCACCCAGCACACCCCACAUAGAAAUGCAAGGCAUAGAUGAAUGGCCAUGGUAGACUUUUCCAUUCAAAAUACCCUGCCAAGCACAAGUCCUGCUGUGAAAAAUUUUGUCAAUUUGAUGGACCAAAGAAUCUUACCCCUUUUGGAUGAGGUCACUGAGAGGACGUGGCUGCCAGCUGACCCUUGAACUGGACCCUGGCAACUAGAGGCUCCUCACCCCUUCCCUUGUCCUGGGAAUGUACAUUCUGCCCACCGUCCCCACACUAGGAGCUGCUUCAAGGAUGCGGUCUUGAGAGAGUAGGUGCUGCUGAGGUCAUCUGGACUGAAUACGUGACUGAACCCAGUUAAGGCCUCUAGAUAAACUUUUAAGGUUUUGGCAGGUGGGUGCAGAGACUUAUUUGUCUUGUGGCCUCCCACACAAACCUCAUGUGUAAAUUCCCUUGCUUGUUAAAUCUACCGCCAACCAGUCUGGAGUGGCCCACCUCUUUCUUCGAUCUCUUUUUCCUCUCUUUAAGGGGUGAGAGUGCAAAGCAACACUCACAGAGCAGAGGAUGCUGCAGAUGUUCAGGAUGAAGAAAAGGGUCCCAGCAAGAGGCUGUGGAUGGCGCAGAGGCGUUCUUCUUAAAGUGGCUGUUUUCUUCCUUGGCUUCUGCAGAUGCUGGCGUACUAAAUUCUAAAAGUGACUUGGCCAGGUUUUUAUCUUCAGGUCAACAGGAUUUUCUAAUAAAUAAAACACUCAUGCA